This 468-nucleotide ribosomal RNA is filed under the name uncultured bacterium. RNAcentral's name for it is "partial 16S ribosomal RNA". It matches the Rfam family "Bacterial small subunit ribosomal RNA", at positions 28 to 507 of the family's 1533-position model. The record is from RNAcentral.
GAUGAACGCUGACAGAAUGCUUAACACAUGCAAGUCAACUUGAAUUUGGGUUUUUUAACUUCGAUUUGGGUGGCGGACGGGUGAGUAACGCGUAAAGAACUUGCCUCACAGCUAGGGACAACAUUUGGAAACGAAUGCUAAUACCUGAUAUUAUGAUUAUAAGGCAUCUUAGAAUUAUGAAAGCUAUAUGCGCUGUGAGAGAGCUUUGCGUCCCAUUAGCUAGUUGGAGAGGUAACGGCUCACCAAGGCGAUGAUGGGUAGCCGGCCUGAGAGGGUGACCGGCCACAAGGGGACUGAGGCACGGCACUUACUCGUACGGGAGGCAGCAGUGGGGAAUAUUGGACAAUGGACCAAGAGUCUGAUCCAGAAAUUCUGUGUGCACGAUGACGUUUCUCGGAAUGUAAAGUGAUUUCAGUUGGGAAGAAAAAAAUGACGGUACCAACAGAAGAAGUGACGGCUAAAUACGUG